RNAcentral lists this transfer RNA (50 nucleotides) under Odorrana schmackeri (piebald odorous frog). RNAcentral describes it as "partial tRNA-Met". Lineage: Eukaryota; Metazoa; Chordata; Amphibia; Anura; Ranidae. RNAcentral also lists the same sequence under 3 other names. The record is from RNAcentral.
GCUUUUGGGCCCAUACCCCAACAAUGUCGGUUAAAAUCCCUCCUUUACUA